CCUACGGGAGGCAGCAGUGAGGAAUAUUGGUCAAUGGGCGGGAGCCUGAACCAGCCAAGUCGCGUGAGGGAAGACGGUCCUAUGGAUUGUCAACCUCUUUAGGCGGGGAGUAAUGCCGGGCACGCGUGCCCGGAGGGAGAGUACCCGCAGAAUAAGCAUCGGCUAACUCCGUGCCAGCAGCCGCGGUAAUACGGAGGAUGCGAGCGUUAUCCGGAUUUCUUGGGUUUAAAGGGUGCGUAGGCGGAUUGUCAAGUCAGCGGUAAAAUGUCCGGGCUCAACCCGGGCCGGCCGUUGAAACUGGGGAUCUGUAGUGGGCGAGAAGUAUGCGGAAUGCGUGGUGUAGCGGUGAAAUGCAUAGAUAUCACGCAGAACUCCGAUUGCGAAGGCAGCAUACCGGCGCCCGACUGACGCUGAGGCACGAAAGCGUGGGGAUCGAACAGGAUUAGAUACCCUAGUAGUC
RNAcentral lists this ribosomal RNA (460 nucleotides) under uncultured bacterium. RNAcentral's name for it is "partial 16S ribosomal RNA". It matches the Rfam family "Bacterial small subunit ribosomal RNA", at positions 338 to 795 of the family's 1533-position model. The record is from RNAcentral.